AACUGCAAUUUUCUGGAUUGACUCUUUUCAGGAUAAUAAUUGGGAAUAGUAAACUUGAUCCUGAACAACAUAAAAAAAUCUCUCGACUAUCGAAAAGCCUCAUUAAAAUUCCAACCCACUUGCCAUCCUACUCUAUUCUGGUAGACAGAGAAAGAGAGGAGCAGUAUCCUCAUUGGAGAAACUUCAGGGGCCCCUUAAUCUCCUAAGCCCUCUUGUGAAUGCACAGUAGGUAGGAUCUGCUGAUCUUAUUGGUGUAAGCAAAAUACAUCAGCCUUGGCUGAUCAGUAUCACACCCCUUGCACACCAAUUAGCUGCUAUUGUGUAAUGGAGGCCAUACUUGGCGAUGGAGUGCAAACAGGACUGCAAACAAAUGCCAAGUCUUAAGAGGUCUGGCACUUGGCUAUUGGAGUGAGCACUUGUCAAUGAGAGAAAAUUUGAAUCUACAUCAGAAACAGGUAAAAUUUUUGUUCGCCUACCCAAAUUUCUCAAAAUGGCAAACCUUACCGUAUGUAUGUUUUCCAUCUUCACAGUACCUCCUCAAAACAUGAGAAUAGCUAUAUAGCUAUACAUCCAUCUAGAAAUGUUAAAGAAGGGGAAAACAUCAUGAUUAUAUAUGAAACUUCUAGUCAUCCACCUGCAGUGAUUAUCCUGAAAAGAAUUGAUCUAGCCAAUGAAGUUACUGUGUGUUCAAAGAAGGGAACAUUUACUUUGUAUCAUGUCACUCAAAAUGACUCAGGGGUAUAUGUAAUCAGUGCUUCCAAUGAGGUUGGGGAUGAUUCUGGACAGAUUGCAAUCUCAGUUAUGAGUAGGUUGAAUUUAUUCAUCCCUAUUUUCUUUAAUCCUUAAUGCCUCUGGGCCACCUUUAAUUAAGCCUAGCCCUGGGAAAUUGGUCCCCUAACAUUUCUGUAAUUCUUUUGUUAAUUAAUUGUGACCUUUUAAAGACACAUCAAACCUGCUUCUCUACUUUUUGACUCUGUCUCACACACAUUGCUUUAUUUUCUAAUUGCUUUAUCAAAUUAGCCACUUACACAGUUGCUACUUUUUACUCAUUUAAAUGAACAAUCAAAGAAUAUUAAGCACUUAGCUAGAAACUCAUGCCCCCAAACUGAAUAUAAUUUAAACUAGCUAAAUUUUAACAAAGACCAAAAAAUGGAUAUUUUUCUGGGUAUUUUGAACUAUAUUUCUUUUGCAUUUGGCUGGAUUUUUUAUUUGUUUUAUUUCAUCUUAGCUUGAACGUAUUCCAUUAAUAGAAAUCAUCAGGAUUUUUAAAAGAUAUUCAGUGUUUAUACGACAAAUAGAAAAUUGUAUUUGAAGGUUGUCCUGGCAACUACCUUGGCAGCAAAUUUGUAUUUUUCUGCCAAUGCCUGUGGGGAAGACUGAAAGGCCAAAGAUAAUGUAUAUUACAUUGAAAAGAAAGAAAGAAAAGAAAUAGAAAUAGUAUUUCUGUUUCUCAGCAUGUCAUCAAUAUUGAUGCCUAUCCAUAAUCAUGCUGAUGGACAUCCCAUUCAAAUAUUACCCUUAUACUUUGACUAGCUCAGCUCUAGCAAGGGAAAGUCAAAAAGUGAGACAAUUAUCAUUAUGCUUAGGGUGUACUGUUUUUCUUCAAUAAUUUGAAAAAGUGACUUCACAUCAUCUGAUGCUCGUGAUUCUUUUUACUUGGUUGACCUCCAGUGAUUAGAAAGCUCUGGAAAGAAUGUAGUAAUCACCAAAGUCAGAUCUCUAGCUUCUGCCAGGACUGAGACAAUGUAUAUGCCACUUAGUGAAACUUAAUACUUGUGUGGUCACAUGAUGCUGUGCAAAGUAUAAACAGAAGUGAGUCUUCAGUAAAUGACACACUAUCUUCUUCAGCUGCUCUUAUAAAGUUAAGAUGUUAAGCAGUAUAGCAGCUGUCAGAUGAUUUUUUAGCAGAUUAGAAAGAAUAUUAAUUUUAAAGUUUUUGUAUGCUGUUACCUACUGUACUCCAUUUACAACUAAGUGGCAAAAGCAAAAUGUAGAAAGAAAAAAAUGUUAUUAGUGUUUAAAAAAUAUUUUUUUGGUGCCAUCUAGGCCAAGCAGUGAGUCAGGUGCUGGCUGUUCAGUGAUGGACUAAAAAGAAAAUAGAUAUACAUGUCUUGAUGUAAUUUUUAGCUUAGGGGAGGAAACUAAACUUAAUAAGUAAUUACAUGGAUAAAUGUUUAAUUAAAAGCUGUAAUAAGGGUUUUGAAGGGAAAACGAGUGGGUUUUGAGAAUAUAUUGAGGUUCUUAAUUUAGAAUGAGGGAGAUAUAGAUCAGAGAAUGCCUCUAAGAAACAUUUAAGCUGUAACAUAACACUGUCCAAAGAACUCCAGUUUAUCAAAAGAUGAUAUAAAUGCUGAAGAGGACAAACGUAUUAAUGUGCCCUAUUUCUGACAUAAAAAACAUAGAAACUUCUAUAUAUCUCUGAGAAAGCCAUUGGCAAGAUUUUUUUUUCUCUUACGAUCUUAUUUGUGGCAUUUAGCUAUAAUGGUCACACUCUGAAUAUUAUAAGGAUUUUCUUAGAGAACUGGUUAGUCAUUUCAAUUCAUGGUCAUCAGAGUCCCAGUUCUUUAGUAGAUAUUUUUAUUUCCCCAAGCAAGUGCCUCUCUCCAAUUCCUGUUCUUGCCUCUCUCCAAUUCUUGUUCUUGUUAAAAACUUGUACCCUCCCUUCCAUUUUACAACUGAACCUGAAUCUAUUUGAAUCCAAGUUUGUGGAAGCCAACAACUAUCAUCUUUAGAUCCAUCAUGACCAUAGCAAUCACCAACUGAUUAUUUGGAUAAUUCAGACAAACAUGCAUCUUGGGUCCUGAUGGUCCUUAUCACUGCUUUGAUUCCCUUCUCUUUGGAGAACUAGUUGUACUGUUAUAAUAAACAUGUAACUGUUGUUAUUAAAUGCUAUCUUUUUGUACUAGAUAUUAAUUGCAUCCAUUUCGUUAUUUUCCAGGAAGAGAAAACAGCAAAGACUAUUUUUCUCCUGAGCUUCUCGUGCUCUAUUUUGCAUCCUCCUUAGUAAUACCUGCCAUUGGAAUGAUAAUUUACUUUGCAAGAAAAGCCAACAUGAAGGGGUCAUAUAGUCUUGUAGAAGCACAGAAAUCAAAAGUGUAGCUAAUGCUUGGUAUGUUCAACUGGAGACACUAUUUAUCUGUGCAAAUCCUUGAUACUGCUCAUCAUUCCAUGAGAAAAACAAUGAGCUGGGAGGCAGACUUCCCUGAAUGUAUUGAACUUGGAAAGAAAUGCCCAUCUAUGUCCCUUGCUGUGAGCAAGAAGUCAAAGUAAAACUUGCUGCCUGAAAAACAGUAACUGCCAUCAAGAUGAGAGAACUGGAGGAGUUCCUUGAUCUGUAUAUACAAUAACAUAAUUUGUACAUAUGUAAAAUAAAAUUAUGCCAUAGCAAGAUUGCUUAAAAUAGCAACACUGUAUAUUUAGAUUGUUAAAAUAACUAGUGUUGCUUGGACUAUUAUAAUUUAAUGCAUGUUAGGAAAAUUUCACAUUAAUAUUUGCUGACAGCUAACCUUUGUCAUCUUUCUUCUAUUUUAUUCCCUUUAACAAAAUUUUAUUCCUAUAUAGUUUAUUGACAAUAAUUUCAGGUUUUGUAAAGAUGCCAGGUUUUAUAUUUUUAUAGACAAAUAAUAAGCAAAGAGAGCACUGGGUUGGCUUUCAGGUACUAAAUACAUCAACCUAUGGUAUAAUGGUUGACUGGGUUUCUCUGUAUAGUACUGGCAUGGUACGGAGAUGUUUCACGAAGUUUGUUCGUCAGACUCCUGUGCAACUUUCCCAAUGUGGCCUAAAAAUGCAACUUCUUUUUAUUUUCUUUUGUAAAUGUUUAGGUUCUUUUGUAUAGUAAAGUGAUAAUUUCUGGAA
This 3855-nucleotide small RNA is filed under the name Pan troglodytes (chimpanzee). RNAcentral describes it as "retained intron". The record is from RNAcentral. Lineage: Eukaryota; Metazoa; Chordata; Mammalia; Primates; Hominidae.